Molecule: long non-coding RNA, 302 nt
Filed under: Mytilus galloprovincialis (Mediterranean mussel)
Lineage: Eukaryota; Metazoa; Mollusca; Bivalvia; Mytilida; Mytilidae
Source: RNAcentral
UUAGGGAGCUACCAUUUGAUUUUUAUGGGGGGGGCUAGGAUGAAAAAUUUUGUCCUGCUUUUUUUUUUAGUUGUAAUCUCUGUCCUGCCUUUUUAUUUUUUACUCUAUUCGGUCCUGCCUUUUUUUUUUAUUAGUUUAUCCUGACUUUUUUUACACAAAUUGUCAUCCUGCCUUUUUUUUUUUACCAAGUUGCUCAUCCUGCCUUUUUUUUUACUCAAAACUCCUGUCCUGCCUAUUUUUUCAAAUUUCAUCCUAGCCCCCCCCCCCCCCCCCCCAUAAAAAUCAAAUGGUAGCUCCCUUAU